GACGAACGCUGGCGGCGUGCCUAAUACAUGCAAGUUGAGCGAUGAAGAUUGGUGCUUGCACCAAUUUGAAGAGCAGCGAACGGGUGAGUAACGCGUGGGGAAUCUGCCUUUGAGCGGGGGACAACAUUUGGAAACGAGUGCUAAUACCGCAUAACAACUUUAAACAUAAGUUUUAAGUUUGAAAGAUGCAAUUGCAUCACUCAAAGAUGAUCCCGCGUUGUAUUAGCUAGUUGGUGAGGUAAAGGCUCACCAAGGCGAUGAUACAUAGCCGACCUGAGAGGGUGAUCGGCCACAUUGGGACUGAGACACGGCCCAAACUCCUACGGGAGGCAGCAGUAGGGAAUCUUCGGCAAUGGACGAAAGUCUGACCGAGCAACGCCGCGUGAGUGAAGAAGGUUGUCGGAUCGUAAAACUCUGUUGGUAGAGAAGAACGUUGGUGAGAGUGGAAAGCUCAUCAAGUGACGGUAACUACCCAGAAAGGGACGGCUAACUACGUG
This 497-nucleotide ribosomal RNA is filed under the name uncultured bacterium. RNAcentral describes it as "partial 16S ribosomal RNA". It matches the Rfam family "Bacterial small subunit ribosomal RNA", at positions 28 to 507 of the family's 1533-position model. The record is from RNAcentral.